GGGUCCAGACUCCUACGGGAGGCAGCAGUGGGGAAUUUUGGACAAUGGGCGCAAGCCUGAUCCAGCAAUGCCGCGUGAGUGAAGAAGGCCUUCGGGUUGUAAAGCUCUUUUGUCAGGGAAGAAACGGUGAGGGCUAAUAUCCCUUGCUAAUGACGGUACCUGAAGAAUAAGCACCGGCUAACUACGUGCCAGCAGCCGCGGUAAUACGUAGGGUGCAAGCGUUAAUCGGAAUUACUGGGCGUAAAGCGUGCGCAGGCGGUUUUGUAAGUCUGUCGUGAAAUCCCCGGGCUCAACCUGGGAAUUGCGAUGGAGACUGCAAGGCUAGAAUCUGGCAGAGGGGGGUAGAAUUCCACGUGUAGCAGUGAAAUGCGUAGAGAUGUGGAGGAACACCGAUGGCGAAGGCAGCCCCCUGGGUCAAGAUUGACGCUCAUGCACGAAAGCGUGGGGAGCAAACAGGAUUAGAUACCCUGGUAGUCCACGCCCUAAACGAUGUCUACUAGUUGUCGGGUUUUAAUUAACUUGGUAACGCAGCUAACGCGUGAAGUAGACCGCCUGGGGAGUACGGUCGCAAGAUUAAAACUCAAAGGAAUUGACGGAAGG
RNAcentral lists this ribosomal RNA (600 nucleotides) under bacterium enrichment culture clone F61x_D43_T3_C06. Its description in RNAcentral is "bacterial SSU rRNA". It matches the Rfam family "Bacterial small subunit ribosomal RNA", at positions 327 to 920 of the family's 1533-position model. The record is from RNAcentral.